This 253-nucleotide ribosomal RNA is filed under the name uncultured bacterium. Its description in RNAcentral is "partial 16S ribosomal RNA". It matches the Rfam family "Bacterial small subunit ribosomal RNA", at positions 524 to 776 of the family's 1533-position model. The record is from RNAcentral.
UACGGGGGGAGCAAGCGUUGUUCGGAUUUACUGGGCGUAAAGGGCGCGUAGGCGGUAGCACAAGUCAGUUGUGAAAUCUCCGGGCUUAACUCGGAAAGGUCAACUGAUACUGUGCGACUAGAGUGCAGAAGGGGCAACUGGAAUUCUCGGUGUAGCGGUGAAAUGCGUAGAGAUGUGGAGGAACACCGAUGGCGAAGGCGGCUCACUGGACCGGAACUGACGCUGAGGCGCGAAAGCGUGGGGAGCAAACAGG